This 206-nucleotide long non-coding RNA is filed under the name Glycine max (soybean). RNAcentral describes it as "long non-coding RNA (GMAX_LNC000141)". The record is from RNAcentral. Lineage: Eukaryota; Viridiplantae; Streptophyta; Magnoliopsida; Fabales; Fabaceae.
CCACAGUAAAGAAAUUGGCACAAAGAACUACGCUAGUUACAUAAAUGAAGAGAAAAUAUAGGAAAAUGUCAAUAGAAACUCCACCACAAUAAAUGACGCAAAAGUUGAAGAGAUGAAAAGAGUGUGUGUUUUGAAAGAAUAUUGGCGCGCAUUUACUAACAACAAAAAUCAGCAACAAAACAACCAAAGUAAUAAACUACAAAAGC